GGCGGCAUGGCCUAACACAUGCAAGUUCGAACGGCAGCACGGCAGUAGCAAUACCUGUGGGUGGCGAGUGGCGGACGGGUGAGGAAUACGGUCGGAAUCUGCCCAGUCGUGGGGGAUAACUAGCCGAAAGGUUAGCUAAUACCGCAUACGACCGAGAGGUGAAAGGCGGGGGACCGCAAGGCCUCGCGCGAUUGGAUGAGCCGACGUCGGAUUAGCUAGUUGGUGGGGUAAAGGCCCACCAAGGCGACGAUCCGUAGCUGGUCUGAGAGGAUGAUCAGCCACACUGGAACUGAGACACGGUCCAGACUCCUACGGGAGGCAGCAGUGGGGAAUAUUGGACAAUGGGCGCAAGCCUGAUCCAGCAAUGCCGCGUGUGUGAAGAAGGCCUUCGGGUUGUAAAGCACUUUUAUCAGGAACGAAAAGCGUUGGAUUAAUACUCUGACGUGCUGACGGUACCUGAGGAAUAAGCACCGGCUAACUUCGUG
Molecule: ribosomal RNA, 485 nt
Filed under: uncultured bacterium
Lineage: Bacteria
Description: bacterial SSU rRNA
Rfam family: Bacterial small subunit ribosomal RNA
Source: RNAcentral